Molecule: ribosomal RNA, 343 nt
Filed under: uncultured bacterium
Lineage: Bacteria
Description: bacterial SSU rRNA
Rfam family: Bacterial small subunit ribosomal RNA
Source: RNAcentral
CGCGCAGGCGGCCAAUCAAGUCAGAUGUGAAAGCCCCGGGCUCAACCUGGGAAUAGCAUUUGGGACUGUUUGGCUUGGGAUCGGGAGAGGAGGGUGGAAUUCCCAGUGUAGAGGUGAAAUUCGUAGAUAUUGGGAAGAACACCGGUGGCGAAGGCGGCUCUCUGGACCGAUACUGACGCUGAGGCGACGAAAGCGGUGGGGAGACAAACGAGGUAUUAGACUACCCGUGGUACGUCCACGCUAGUAAACGAUGUGUGCUAGACGGUUGGGGGACCUAGUUUCCCGGUGUCGCAGCUAACGCGUUAAGCACACCGCCGUGGGGAGUACGGCCGCAAAGGUUAAA